GAGGGUAUAGCUCAGUGGUAGAGUGCGUGCUUAGCACGUGUGAGGUCCUUGGUUCAAUCUCCAGUACCUCCA
This 72-nucleotide transfer RNA is filed under the name Camelus bactrianus (Bactrian camel). It matches the Rfam family "tRNA". Rfam says of the family: Transfer RNA (tRNA) molecules are approximately 80 nucleotides in length. Their secondary structure includes four short double-helical elements and three loops (D, anti-codon, and T loops). Further hydrogen bonds mediate the characteristic L-shaped molecular structure. tRNAs have two regions of fundamental functional importance: the anti-codon, which is responsible for specific mRNA codon recognition, and the 3' end, to which the tRNAs corresponding amino acid is attached (by aminoacyl-tRNA synthetases). tRNAs cope with the degeneracy of the genetic code in two manners: having more than one tRNA (with a specific anti-codon) for a particular amino acid; and 'wobble' base-pairing, i.e. permitting non-standard base-pairing at the 3rd anti-codon position. Lineage: Eukaryota; Metazoa; Chordata; Mammalia; Artiodactyla; Camelidae. RNAcentral also lists the same sequence under 2 other names. The record is from Rfam by way of RNAcentral.